GUUGUUGCAGUUAAAAAGCUCGUAGUCGAACUUAUGGCCUCGUGAACCCUUCCCAUCCUCUAGUAGGUUGCGAGAAGGUGUGCAUGGGUCAUUCUUCUGAAAAGUAUUGCUGCCCUUGAUUGGGUUUUGCUCUAUAAUUCAGAUCAUUUACUGUGAGUAAAUCAAAGUGUUCAAAGCAGGCUUUAAAGCUUGUAUGGUUCAGCAUGGAAUAAUAAGAUAAGACUUCGGUUUUGUUUUGUUGGCUAUAGAACCAAAGUAAUGAUUGAAAGGGAUAGUUGGGGAUGCUAAUAUUCGGUGGUCAGCGGUGAAAUGCGAGGACCCAUUGAAGACUAACUUAUGCGAAAGCAUUCAUCAAGGAUAUCUUCUUUGAUCAAGAACGAAAGUUGGGGGAUCGAAGACGAUCAUAUACCGUCGUAGUCUCAACCAUAAACUAUGCCUACUGAGGAUUGGCAGUCGUUGUUACUUGACCCUGUCUGCACUCUAUGAGAAAUCAAAGUCUCUGGGUUCUGGGGGGAGUAUGGUCGCAAGGCUGAAACUUAAAG
This 542-nucleotide ribosomal RNA is filed under the name uncultured marine eukaryote. Its description in RNAcentral is "bacterial SSU rRNA". It matches the Rfam family "Eukaryotic small subunit ribosomal RNA", at positions 609 to 1149 of the family's 1831-position model. The record is from RNAcentral.